Rhipicephalus microplus (southern cattle tick) is the source of this 397-nucleotide long non-coding RNA. NCBI's taxonomy places the organism in Eukaryota, Metazoa, Arthropoda, Arachnida, Ixodida, Ixodidae. The record is from RefSeq and is a predicted model, not a curated record.
GAACACAGCCUCGUCGCCCUGGUAUCCGUGAAUUUCGGUGACCGAAACACCCACCAUUCAAGCUCACAGUGCCUGCAGUACAACCUUACUAGGAAAAUAACGUUCACUUCAUGAGAGGCAUGGACGUUCGCCAUGGACUCGCAGGCAUAACAGCACUCACCUCCAAGAUGCAGACCAGACAAAAAGGCAGUGCCAGCCGGGUCCCGUUCCGUGUGUGCGUCCUGGCCUUUGAGGAGGGUAGUCGGGCUAUGACUAUACAGUGGUGACUGCCAACGGAAAGAGGAGCAACAGCUGAAGGCCAUGUGGGAUCACAGAGGCUCUUACUUUUUUGGGUGUUUGGCAUGCAUACAUAUGGUUUUGAUGUAUCUGUAACAAUAAAGCACAAGCAUGUACAUAA